Molecule: ribosomal RNA, 279 nt
Filed under: uncultured Coriobacteriaceae bacterium
Lineage: Bacteria; Bacillati; Actinomycetota; Coriobacteriia; Coriobacteriales; Coriobacteriaceae
Description: partial 16S ribosomal RNA
Rfam family: Bacterial small subunit ribosomal RNA
Source: RNAcentral
CCCUGUCGUAUGUUGCCAGCAUUUAGUUGGGACUCAUACGAGACUGCCGGCGUCGAAGCCGGAGGAAGGUGGGAUGACGUCAAGUCAUCAUGCCCUUAUGUCCUGGGCUGCACACGUGCUACAAUGGCCGGUACAAUGGGCUGCGAUGCCGCGAGGCGGAGCGAAUCCCAUAAAACCGGCCCAGUUCGGAUCGGAGGCUGCAACCUCGACUGCGUGAAGUUGGAAUCGCUAGUAAUCGUGGAUCAGCAUGCCACGGUGAAUUACCGGUUCCCGGUCCUU